This 72-nucleotide transfer RNA is filed under the name Actinoplanes lutulentus. RNAcentral's name for it is "tRNA-Val". It matches the Rfam family "tRNA". From Rfam's summary of the family: Transfer RNA (tRNA) molecules are approximately 80 nucleotides in length. Their secondary structure includes four short double-helical elements and three loops (D, anti-codon, and T loops). Further hydrogen bonds mediate the characteristic L-shaped molecular structure. tRNAs have two regions of fundamental functional importance: the anti-codon, which is responsible for specific mRNA codon recognition, and the 3' end, to which the tRNAs corresponding amino acid is attached (by aminoacyl-tRNA synthetases). tRNAs cope with the degeneracy of the genetic code in two manners: having more than one tRNA (with a specific anti-codon) for a particular amino acid; and 'wobble' base-pairing, i.e. permitting non-standard base-pairing at the 3rd anti-codon position. Lineage: Bacteria; Bacillati; Actinomycetota; Actinomycetes; Micromonosporales; Micromonosporaceae. The record is from RNAcentral.
ACCCGGCUAGCUCAGCGGUAGAGCGCCUCGUUCACACCGAGGAGGCCGGCGGUUCGAAACCGUCGCCGGGUA